GGCUCCGUAGCUCAAUGGAUAGAGCAACGGUCUUCUACACCGCAGGUUACAGGUUCGAGUCCUGUCGGGGCCGCCA
This 76-nucleotide transfer RNA is filed under the name Verrucomicrobiaceae bacterium. Its description in RNAcentral is "tRNA-Arg". It matches the Rfam family "tRNA". Rfam says of the family: Transfer RNA (tRNA) molecules are approximately 80 nucleotides in length. The record is from RNAcentral. Lineage: Bacteria; Pseudomonadati; Verrucomicrobiota; Verrucomicrobiia; Verrucomicrobiales; Verrucomicrobiaceae.